UCUCCGUAGGUGAACCUGCGGAGGGAUCAUUACAGAGUUCUCGCCCUCACGGGUCGAUCUCCCACCCACUGUUAUCGUUACUGUCGUUUCUUUGGCGGGCCGCCGGGUCCCCGGCCGCCGGCGCCUAGCUGCCGGCGCGCGCCCGCCAGAGGCCUUCAAACUCUGAAUGUUAGUGUCGUCUGAGUACUAUAUAAUAGUUAAAACUUUCAACAACGGAUCUCUUGGUUCUG
Molecule: unclassified non-coding RNA, 230 nt
Filed under: plant metagenome
Description: partial contains small subunit ribosomal RNA, internal transcribed spacer 1, and 5.8S ribosomal RNA
Source: RNAcentral